RNAcentral lists this ribosomal RNA (305 nucleotides) under uncultured bacterium. RNAcentral describes it as "partial 16S ribosomal RNA". It matches the Rfam family "Bacterial small subunit ribosomal RNA", at positions 508 to 808 of the family's 1533-position model. The record is from RNAcentral.
ACAGCAGUCGCCGCGGUAAUACGUAUGUCACAAGCGUUAUCCGGAUUUAUUGGGCGUAAAGCGCGUCUAGGUGGUUAUGUAAGUCUGAUGUGAAAAUGCAGGGCUCAACUCUGUAUUGCGUUGGAAACUGUGUAACUAGAGUACUGGAGAGGUAAGCGGAACUACAAGUGUAGAGGUGAAAUUCGUAGAUAUUUGUAGGAAUGCCGAUGGGGAAGCCAGCUUACUGGGCAGAUACUGACGCUGAAGCGCGAAAGCGUGGGUAGCAAACAGGAUUAGAUACCCCGGUAGUCCCUGUCUCUUAUACA